AGUGAACGCUGGCGGUAGGCCUAACACAUGCAAGUCGAACGGCAGCACAGUAAGCGCUUGCUCUUACGGGUGGCGAGUGGCGGACGGGUGAGGAAUACAUAGGAAUCUACUUUUUCGUGGGGGAUAACGUAGGGAAACUUACGCUAAUACCGCAUACGACCUACGGGUGAAAGCAGGAGAUCUUCGGACCUUGCGCGACUGAAUGAGCCGAUGUCGGAUUAGCUAGUUGGCGGGGUAAAGGCCCACCAAGGCGACGCUCCGUAGCUGGUCUGAGAGGAUGAUCAGCCACACUGGAACUGAGACACGGUCCAGACUCCUACGGGAGGCAGCAGUGGGGAAUAUUGGACAAUGGGCGCAAGCCUGAUCCAGCCAUGCCGCGUGGGUGAAGAAGGCCUUCGGGUUGUAAAGCCCUUUUGUUGGGAAAGAAAAGCAGCAGGUUAAUACCCCGCUGUUCUGACGGUACCCAAAGAAUAAGCACCGGCUAACUUCGUG
RNAcentral lists this ribosomal RNA (492 nucleotides) under uncultured bacterium. RNAcentral's name for it is "partial 16S ribosomal RNA". It matches the Rfam family "Bacterial small subunit ribosomal RNA", at positions 29 to 507 of the family's 1533-position model. The record is from RNAcentral.